UUGAACUGAGUGCUACGUGGCUUACUGCUCUCUUAAGCGCGUAGACGACUGUGCGUAUCAAGGGUGCUCGGUUCUUGUCUCCUCAAAGUUACAGAGGCGGCUCUGUCUGUGCACUUCGUGCUAUUCACGAGUAUUGUAAAUGGUCGUUGUCUCUGUAAUCACUAACCAGCAAGUAGUACCGGAUAGUUCAAGACAAGACGGCUUGUCUUGAGCUACCGGGGCGGAUAAACCUGUCUCCGCCUCAUUCCGCCCGCCUCCGCGCGUCAGACUGGCGGAUAACGCAACUUCCUCACACCGCAUAACCUAACGGCACAAACCCAGCUCACUCAAACGCACAAGAUCUUACGGACAGUUAUGGCCAAACAGAGCAUUGCUAUGGUAGUCGGCACACGGGAGUUAUGCCUGCUUAGUCACGUGCUGCCCCAUAAUUCGACAGCCGCACUGAUUCUGACCCCGGGUUUCACAGCUUUCCCGGCACGGUCCCACGCCAUGUCCGGUCCCACGCCCUGGCGUGACACCUUGUCACUCUGCGGCCCGGAGCUGGCUGUGUGAAAACUGGCGAACGGUGGUGACGGCUAUGCUGAGGGCUGCAGGGCUUAUCGCCGCCCUACCGCCGCCAUCCUGAUGAGGAAUCGUGAUGGUGAAGCCGUACUUCCGGGCAUACGAUCAUGUUACACACAAGGGGAGGUGUGUACACCUCCCCUGGUACGCACACUGUCACACACGGCAGGCUGCUCCUUUACCGGCACCGAGCCGCGUGGCUGAUCGCCAUCCCAUACAGUCGGUUCUUGGCAACCGCCUCGGCACUGCACACGAAGAAUGGUCAACUUCCGCAAAUCAUUCCUGGUCGUGCGCACUCUCCGCCAACCCUCUCACUCCGCAGUGCCAGCCACGCCCUGCCAUUUGUCCUGGUCUGGCGGCAAUGUCGCUCCCAACUGAGUCAAGGCGGCCAAGGAGCGCUUCAGCGCAGCCCUGCAGCUGGGCACGGACGUGCAGGCAGAGGGGCGCUGCGCCAAUGGUGAGGACAUACUUGCAUCAAAGCACGCUAGAUUACUUGGAACACCUCCGACCCCAGGCAAUGGCGACUGGAGGCGCCCGUACCUGAAGGGCGCCUCCUGCCGCUCCUGCUACCUGAACGAUUCGCAUUACCCCGCCACCGGGCUGCGUUCCAGGUGAGUUUAUGUUGUGGGUUUCGCGUUGUCGCGAAUGGCAGCCUAGUCGCGCGCGAGCUGCUACAAGUCAGCUCCACGCCAGUGUAACCAUUUGGUGCGCCUGCUGCGGAGCCGCGUGGGGCGCGCGCGGGUGUUCUCGUCUCGGAAAAUAACAAGUAACCGCAAUUGCAGCUAACUCUAAUUUUUGUCUUGCUGCGUUUCAGGCGGCAGUGGCGACGGCGGGGGAACACUUGUCUUGCUGCUUGCUAGCCUGGAGCACUCGACGGCGUCUUGCAUCUGCAUUCACAUUUCUCUGCCUAGACUAACGUGCUUGAAAAAAUGCAACACGUACAAGCCUAGCACCCGUCACGCUGUGGGGUUUGUGCGGGACGCUGCCGCCCCUUGUAAGCGGUAACACGCGGCACACAACGUAUAACCCCUGAGGGGAUAUCGUAUAGCACCGCGCUGUGCUUAUGAGUGGCCACUCAGUACGACAUGGUCAAGCUGAGUACUGUGUACAAUGAAGUGGUGGCCGCAAAGGCCAGAUGUCUGUCAAUGGAGUGCGGACACACGGAGCGGCGCCAGUGCGGGGAGACACGCCGAGGCGGCCACUGCGCCGUGUCUGCCGCCUACAACCUACCUGAGUAACCUGAUCCAUUGUUACGACAACUCGACAAGUGACGCAACACAGUGAGUGUUAUACACUGCUGGUGCUUUUUGGUGUCGCAGGCGUGAGGGUGCAAAGACCAUGCUAAACUGUAACGACGGGAAAAGGCCCUUCGAAGUUGUCAGGAACGGGAAGUACCCGCGUUACAUUCUCCCCCCCUUGGAUCACACGUCCUCGGGUGGAUCUGCGAAUGUGACUGCUCGCCAGAAACAUAAUUUUGACACCACGGCCGGCAUUACCCGUCACCGCGUCGAGAAGGCACCACGGUAUGCAAUCCCCUAGUGCCGGUUUUUUGAGCGAAGCCAAAUUCCGACGUACUCAGGACUCGAACCAGCGACCUCCGGCUGUUAUACCAUCGGAACACUGGGUGGUCUCGAUACCAAUUGUAACGACGGGAAAAGGCCCUUCGAAGUUGUCAGGAACGGGAAGUACCCGCGUUACAUAAACAGGACCUGGCAAAUGCCAUGUCCAGCUCGACCUGACCUCUUCACGCAUACGCGUUGUUACCCUCUUGCCGCUGGCUCGGCUUGCUUCUGCUCAGUCUGCGUCCCACCACCCGCAAGUUCUGUGGCCGCGCCGGUGUUGUUACUGGGCUCGGGGAAUAGUCAGGGGAGGGGCAACGUCCGCGCCUGCCUGCCCCUGCUGGCAACAGACAGCGUUUCAGGGCCGAAGGAUCAAACCCAGCACCCAGAGAUAUUAUCGCAGCUAAUCAUAGGCAUUUGCCCACCUUAACGGGCUGAAAUGCUUUUCAUAUGCUGACUAUUCGGUCCGGCCCCCAUUCACCCAUGGUGAGCCUGCGAGCAAGGCGGG
This 2628-nucleotide long non-coding RNA is filed under the name Chlamydomonas reinhardtii. Its description in RNAcentral is "long non-coding RNA (CREI_LNC001056)". Lineage: Eukaryota; Viridiplantae; Chlorophyta; Chlorophyceae; Chlamydomonadales; Chlamydomonadaceae. The record is from RNAcentral.